RNAcentral lists this long non-coding RNA (2437 nucleotides) under Pan troglodytes (chimpanzee). RNAcentral's name for it is "lincRNA". The record is from RNAcentral. Lineage: Eukaryota; Metazoa; Chordata; Mammalia; Primates; Hominidae.
CAGACUGUGCUGAAGCUUCAUGAGACCUCUCCUCGUCUGUGCACGAAAGAGGAGCCGGACACAGAGUGUCCAACCUACUCUGGAGCCCAGGCUGUUGCUUCCCGGUCUGGCGGUGAGUCCUCCAUUGUCUGAUGUGGGUAAGUCCAAGAUCAAGGAGCCAGCAGAUUCAGAGUCCAGGGAGGGCUGUUCCUGAUUUGCAGAUGGCGCCUUCUCUUUAUGUCUUCACAAGAUUGUGAAGCCUGUAGCUUGGAAGAUAUAGGACAUAGGUGAAAGUGUUUGUACCAUUCAUUUAAAGGCAUAAAUGUCCAACGGGACCAUCUUGCGAUACAUGCACUGUCACAGGAAAAGUUUCCAGGAAAAGUCGAGCCAGGGCUUCACAGAAGAUCAAAAGAAAGAGACAAGGAGAAGAUAAGUGUAUUAGGAUUCUCUAAGGGACAGAACUACUAGAAUAUAUAUACACACACAAACACACACAGACACACACACACACACACACACACAUAUAUAUACAUAUAAAUAAAAGGGAGUUUAGUAAGGAGUAUUAACUCAUACAAUCACAAGGUCCCACAAUAGGCUGGGCCAUCUGUAAGCUGAGGAGCAAGGAAGGCUGUGUGAAUCCCAAAGCUGACAAACUUGGAGUUCAAUGUUCAAGGGCAGGAAGCAUCCAGCACAGGAGAUAGAUGUAGGCUGGGAGGCUAAGCCAGUCAAGACUUUUCACGUUUUUCUGCCUGUUUCAUAUCCUAGCUGCGAUGGCAGCUGAUUAGAUGGUGCCAACCCAGAUUGAGGGUGGGUCUGCCUUUCCCAGCACACUGACUCAAAUGUUUAUCUCCUUUGGCAACACCCUCACAGACACACCCAGGAUUAAUAUUUUGCUUCCUUCCAUCCAACCAAGUUGACACUCAGUAUUAACCAUCACACUAAGCUUAAUUGUUAUUUUAUAGAAAUGCUUGAAAACCAGAGAUAAAUGCAGCUACAAAUGAAUGAUGACUCUGUGUUUUCCUUGUGUAUAUAAAGAUCAACAAUAACACUUAUGUCAUGAAACCCACCUACUUUACAGAUCAUUAUGGAAAUAAUAUACUGCUUCAACAAUGGAGAAACAAUCAUCCAUAUUUAUGCAAGAACUAAAUUCAUGUUUGAAAGCUUGCUUUGAGCUUGAAGAUAUAAUUAUAAAACACGAUUCUGUGACGUAAACAAUGUAUAACAAAUCUUACAGAAAUUUAUGUGAUUACUAAAAAAAAUCAAUUCAUCAAUUCAAUAAACUGAGUACUGUAUUACUUUUCUAUUGCUUCUUUACCAAAUAAAUACAAGCUUUGCAGUUUAAAACAACAGAAAUUUAAUUUUUUAUAGUUCUGAGGGUCCGUAACCUAAAACUGAUCUUAUGAAAUAAAGUUAAAUCUUGGGGAUAUGGGUGUGGACAGGGCUGGUUUCUUCUGGGGCUCUGAUGGUAAAAUUUGCUUCCUUGCCUUUUCUCCUUCUAGGGAGCCUGCAUUCCCUGCCUCCUAGUGGCUUCCUCCCAUCACUCGAACCUCUGUUUCCAGCCUCAGGAUUCCUAAUGUGACUCUGAUGUUUCACCUCCUGUUUAUGAGGACCCUUCUGGUUGCUAAGAUACAUACGGUGACACUAUGGAAGUUAACUUGAAGAUUAAAACCCUGAAAAAUAGAAAGAAUCUUCUAUGGUAUAUCACAGAUAUUACAAGGGCCUGAAUUAGAGCGGUGACAUUUUCAUCCCUUGAUAAUGGACUAAAAACAAUUGAAUGAAGCUUUGGGGUGAACUUACAGGACUUUAUGGCAAACUUCAUAUGGGAGACUUACAUGAAGGGAGGAAGAAAUGCGUAUGUGUACAAAAUCAUGUGGAUAGAUGUGCAUUUGUGGGUAUCUGUGAAUACAAAUACACAAUUUUCAGAUAGAAGUAGUAUAAGAAAAGGAAAUCAAACAAAGUCAGACAUUUUAAGUGUAGCUCUUGGUGCACUUUAAAAAAAUUAUUAAAUUGAAGCUGUAGUUUAUUCUCAUCAUUGUCAUCCUAUAUUAGUGAUUUUCUUUAGCUUUUGAAAUUAAAUUCAUAAUAUUACAAUUCUGAAUUCCUAUGUAUGUAUAUGUUAAGAAUCCUUUAAUGGGACUGACUUUCAUAUGUGUGUGGCUGCAUUCUGAAAUAGUUGUCUAGGUGAUACAUAAAGCAGUGAGUGCUAUUUGUAAGAUAUAUUUAUAUUUAAAGUCUUCAUACAGUUAUUAACUAGCUCCAAUAUUACUGAAAUGAUUUCUCCAAAUAUCCUAUAUUUAAUUAUCAUGCUGGCAAAUUUAUUAUAACUUUGGGUUGAAAAAAUAUAUUAUGAUACAUAUCCACUGACUAAUGCCACCUAUCUGCUUUCCUGAAUUCAAGGUUUAUGAUUAUUUCCAUAAAUGUAUUUAUCAGUAUAAUCAAAAAUAAAAAUAACAUAAAU